CUCUGUGCGUGAUUUGAGGCUAGGACAGAGGUUCACCUUCCAGCACGACAAUGACCCCAAACAUACUGCUAACGCAACACUUGAGUGGUUUAAGGGGAAACAUGUAAAUGUGUUGGAAUGGCCUAGUCAAAGCCCAGACCUCAAUCCAAUAGAAAAUCUGUGGUCAGAUUUAAAGAUUGCUGUUCACAAGCGCAAACCAUCGAACUUGAAGGAGCUGGAGCAGUUUUGCAAGGAGCAAUGGGCAAAAAUCCUAGUGGUUAGAUAUGGCAAGCUCAUAGAGACUUAUCCAAAGCGACUUGGAGCUGUGAUUGCAGCAAAAGGUGGCUCUACAAAGUAUUGACUUUAGGGGGGUG
Molecule: non-coding RNA, 353 nt
Organism: Pelobates cultripes (western spadefoot toad)
Lineage: Eukaryota; Metazoa; Chordata; Amphibia; Anura; Pelobatidae
Source: the annotation of a GenBank genome assembly